RNAcentral lists this unclassified non-coding RNA (628 nucleotides) under Lelliottia amnigena. RNAcentral describes it as "partial contains 16S ribosomal RNA, 16S-23S ribosomal RNA intergenic spacer, and 23S ribosomal RNA". The stretch from base 449 to 582 matches the Rfam family "Salmonella enterica Typhi npcRNA 44". Lineage: Bacteria; Pseudomonadati; Pseudomonadota; Gammaproteobacteria; Enterobacterales; Enterobacteriaceae. The record is from RNAcentral.
AGUCGUAACAAGGUAGCCGUAGGGGAACCUGCGGUUGGAUCACCUCCUUACCUGAAGAACCUGCCUUUGUAGUGUCCACACAGAUUGUCUGAUGAAAAAUAAGCAGUAAAGAAUCUCUGCAGGCUUGUAGCUCAGGUGGUUAGAGCGCACCCCUGAUAAGGGUGAGGUCGGUGGUUCAAGUCCACUCAGGCCUACCAAAUUCGCCUCCGGACUGCGUUAUGGCAACGCUCGCAUACAGCAGUAUGCUUCGUGUUACCACGCCUUGCCCGGAAACGAAUUAGGGUACAGAGAUUCAGUAUUACGAUGGGGUUAUAGCUCAGCUGGGAGAGCGCCUGCCUUGCACGCAGGAGGUCUGCGGUUCGAUCCCGCAUAGCUCCACCAUCCUUUUACUGCUGAAAACAAGAAAACUUCAGAGUGUACCUGAAAAGGUGUGCUGCGAAGUUUUGCUCUUUAAAAAUCUGGAUCAAGCUGAAAAUUGAAACGACACACUGUGUCUGCUCUCCGUAAUAAGAGCAGGUAAGCGGUGUGUUCGAGUCUCUCAAAUUUUCGCAACACUGCGGGUGUUUUACGAAACAUCUUCGGGUUGUGAGGUUAAGCGACUAAGCGUACACGGUGGAUGCCUUGGCAC